UACGUAGGGGGCAAGCGUUGUCCGGAAUCAUUGGGCGUAAAGAGCGCGUAGGCGGUCCGGUAAGUCCGCUGUGAAAGUCAAGGGCUCAACCCUUGGAUGCCGGUGGAUACUGCCGGGCUAGAGUCCGGAAGAGGCGAGUGGAAUUCCUGGUGUAGCGGUGAAAUGCGCAGAUAUCAGGAGGAACACCAAUGGCGAAGGCAGCUCGCUGGGACGGUACUGACGCUGAGGCGCGAAAGCGUGGGGAGCAAACAGGAUUAGAAACCCCUGUAGUCC
This 273-nucleotide ribosomal RNA is filed under the name uncultured bacterium. RNAcentral describes it as "partial 16S ribosomal RNA". It matches the Rfam family "Bacterial small subunit ribosomal RNA", at positions 524 to 796 of the family's 1533-position model. The record is from RNAcentral.